Molecule: long non-coding RNA, 1742 nt
Filed under: Capsicum annuum
Lineage: Eukaryota; Viridiplantae; Streptophyta; Magnoliopsida; Solanales; Solanaceae
Description: long non-coding RNA (CANN_LNC014677)
Source: RNAcentral
CUCUCUUUAACAUAUUUGCUUUCUGUUUUCUUUCAUUAAACAACCGAUCGUUCCUCCGUUAUUAAAUACUUUUUUUACGCUCAAAUUCAAGAAAUCGUAUACUUAAAGGUUACCAAUUUGUAAGUUAUCAAACAUUUAUUGAACUUACUGAUUUUAUUCACUAAUUUUUAGUUUUUUUUUUUCAACUUUACCAAAUCACAACCUGGUUCGAUUUUUUGUUGCAUGUUUAUUUUUUAUGAAAUUAAUUGCUUUUGCAAAUCCAUUUCAGUAUGAUAGUUCGAUAAUAUCAUUUUUUUUUCAAUUAUUAAAAGUCAGAUCUUUGUAUUUUUUUGUUUAAAAGUUGUUGGUUCUUAUUCAGAUUCUUGUUUGGUUGCAUGUUGAUUUUUAUGAAAUUACCUUAUUUUGCAAUCCCGCUCUAGUUUGUUAGUUGAUUUUUUUCAUUUUUUUUUCAUAUAACACAAGUCAGAUCUUUGAAUUUCUUGUUUAUAGUUGUGAUUGCUUAAUCAAUAUAGUAUAAAUUUGGUAAUGGAUUCUUGUCCUAACUUUAAUUUAGGACUUAGUCAGUUAGAUGCUCAAGAACGAAAUAUUUUCAUUGGUUUUGCUCCUGGCAUAUUUGAUAUUAUACAUUUAUAUUAUUUGAUUAUACAUUACUUUAUUUAUCAGACUAAUGUAUAAUAUUAGUUUUCUGCUUUACAUUCAAUUAUAUUAUACAAUAAGAAGAUGUACAUAAAAGAGAUAGUUAUUGUAAUAAGUGAAAUUAUACGUUGUGAAUGUUUGAAUAUUGUAUAAGGUGACAUUAUACAUUCUUACUUUGGCCAAAGUUUUGCACUUUUAAUAUUGUAUAAGGUGACAUUAUACAUUCUUACUUUAGCCAAAGUUUUGCACUUAAUAGUGUGAUAUUAUACACUAUGAAAUAUUACAUUAUAAUGUAUAAGUUAUAAUAUAUCAGUCAUUAUACAUUAUUUAUUUUGAAAGGUGACAUUACACAAUCUAACAAGCUUAUAAGUCAUACAUAUUUAAGGUGAAAUUGUGUAUUAUGACAUUAUACAUUACUGCAGAUUAUUAUUUAAAUGCAUAAGUUACCCUCAUACAUGUCUAAAUGUUGUUUUAUUAUGGUCUGAUUUAUUUUUUUUAAAUGUAUAAGUUAUCAUCACACAUGUGUAACUGUUGUGUAAUUAGGUCCUGAUUUUAUUUUUCCAGGACAUGAAAUGCCGAUUGAACUGUUUAAGUAAAUUUGAUUUUUUUUACAUGUAUAACGAUGUUAUAAUUAUUGAACGGAUUGUUACUUCAUCGUUUUUUAUUUACAUCAGGGACUGUGGUGUCUUUAUGUCUGCCUAUGCAGAAAUAUUAAGUUAACGGCAACAAGUCCAUUCAUGUGGGUUUGAUGCUGGAACUCAAUGUGCAUACUAUGCUUCAUUACUAUGGCAUUACGGAGUGACAAAGGCAAAAGAAGGGUACACGAGUGACAAUGAGGAUCCUCCUCGGCCAAGGAAUAGUUAUCUCCAAACAAUUGAUGCAAGUGCACUUGUUACAUUAGAGUAGAAUUUUUUUAUAAUAGUCGUCAUUGAAACAACUAAUUUUUUUAUGUUAAACGGUUACAAUGUUACUUUUUGGAUGUUAAUUCACAUUUUAUAGAUGUCCUUAUUUUUAUUAUACAUACAUAUCUUCUAAAGAGAUGUUUUGCAAUUAACUACACUAUAUUGUAAUGUUACUAAUAUAGUUUGGUAGUUAUUACGUUUGCC